CAGCCCUGUAUUCAUGGUCACGACCACGCAGCGCGUGCUCGUCCUGAGACUCAACCGAGACGUUGAUUUUGAGUGCCGUUCGUUGAGUGAGCUGACGAAUUUGGGAGAGAGCCUCGUGAGUUGUUGAGAGAGAGAGAGGAGCUGCUUCAACCGUGUAAGCCCUCUGUUAGCCUCCGACUGGUUUUUUUUGGACUUCAGAUUAGGAACGGAUUCAGAUUUCCGAACCUUUGGUUCGGUGGCGAGCCAGGACCCUGAUUAAGAGGAGCGGAGCGCGGUGUGGCCAGCCGUGGAUCCACUCAGGACCUCGAACCAUCAUCUCGUUCACUCACUGGCACAGAUAAGAUAUACAAAAACCUACCCGGGUAGUAUAUAGACAGAAUAUUGCAUACACCCUGAGGGACUUGAACUCUGACUUCUAGUGAAGAAGAAGGGACACUUUAAUUUUUUUUUUUUUUUAUAAGAGAGCUCUAUGUUUUUGUAUCAUUUAUUUUCCAUACACUGUCAAGAAAAUUGCGUGUUGCAAUAAAUUGUUAUACUCUAACCUCAUGUUCUCGCACUUGACUAACUACUCCCAACUAUCCGAA
Eleginops maclovinus (Patagonian blennie) is the source of this 584-nucleotide long non-coding RNA. RefSeq lists it as uncharacterized. Lineage: Eukaryota; Metazoa; Chordata; Actinopteri; Perciformes; Eleginopidae. The record is from RefSeq and is a predicted model, not a curated record. The transcript is spliced from 3 exons.